AAGGAUUCCCCUAGUACUGCGAGUGAAGCGGGAAAAGCUCAAAUUUAAAAUCUGGUGGUCUUUUGGCCAUCCGAGUUGUAAUUUAGAGAAGCGUCUUCCGCGCUGGACCGUACACAAGUCUCCUGGAACGGAGCGUCAUAGAGGGUGAGAAUCCCGUCUUUGGUACGGACCCCCAGGGCUUCUGUGAUGCGCUCUCGAAGAGUCGAGUUGUUUGGGAAUGCAGCUCAAAAUGGGUGGUGAACUCCAUCUAAAGCUAAAUAUUGGCGAGAGACCGAUAGCGAACAAGUACCGUGAGGGAAAGAUGAAAAGCACUUUGGAAAGAGAGUGAAACAGUACGUGAAAUUGUUGAAAGGGAAACGCUUAAAGUCAGUCGCGUCCACCGAGACUCAGCCUUGCUCUGGCUUGGCGUAUUUCUCGGUUGACGGGUCAGCAUCAAUUUUGUCCCUCGGAUAAUGGCAAGGGAAAGGUGGCACCUUUGCGGGUGUGUUAUAGUCUUUUGUCGCAUGCGAGGGGUGAGAUUGAGGAACUCAGCACGCGCACCUUCUCGGUGUGUCGGGGCCUCGGCCCACGCCACGUGCUUAGGAUGCUGGCGUAAUGGCUUUAAACGACCCGUCUUGAAACACGGACCAAGGAGUCUAACAUGCCCGCGAGUGUUCGGGUGGAAAACCCGUGCGCGUAAUGAAAGUGAAAGUUGGGACCUUCGUCGUGAAGGGCACCGACGCCCGGACCAGACCUUCUGUGACGGAUCUGCGGUGGAGCGUGCAUGUUGGGACCCGAAAGAUGGUGAACUAUGCCUGAAUAGGGUGAAGCCAGAGGAAACUCUGGUGGAGGCUCGUAGCGAUUCUGACGUGCAAAUCGAUCGUCAAAUUUGGGUAUAGGGGCGAAAGACUAAUCGAACCAUCUAGUAGCUGGGUUCCUGCCGAAGUUUUUCCUCUCA
This 937-nucleotide ribosomal RNA is filed under the name Russula delica. RNAcentral's name for it is "partial large subunit ribosomal RNA". It matches the Rfam family "Eukaryotic large subunit ribosomal RNA", at positions 70 to 975 of the family's 3401-position model. Lineage: Eukaryota; Fungi; Basidiomycota; Agaricomycetes; Russulales; Russulaceae. The record is from RNAcentral.